CGGCGAACGGGUGAGUAACGCGUGGAUAACCUGCCCUGAGGUGGGGGGAUAACCAAGGGAAACUUUGGCUAAUACCGCAUGAUACCGAGAGGUCAAAGGGGGCUCGCAAGGGCUCUCGCCAUAGGAGGGGUCCGCGUCCGAUUAGCUAGUUGGUAGGGUAAUGGCCUACCAAGGCGACGAUCGGUAGCCGGCCUGAGAGGGUGAUCGGCCACACUGGAACUGAGACACGGUCCAG
Molecule: ribosomal RNA, 235 nt
Filed under: uncultured bacterium
Lineage: Bacteria
Description: partial 16S ribosomal RNA
Rfam family: Bacterial small subunit ribosomal RNA
Source: RNAcentral